AGUGUGAAGGGUUUCUCAGUGGUGCACUGGGUAAGACGAUGAGCGUAAGUCGCAAGGCGUGCAGACCUCAUGGUUGAAUCCUGGGCACUGCUGGUUCCUGGAUCACUCAACAGUCCUGAAGGGACUCCAGGGGGGGCCGUGUCCCCCCUGCGUUUCCAGAGAGGUGGAAAGGAGGCCUUAUGAAACCGAGAAGUAAAACCAACUAGAAUUUUGAACAAAAGCAAAAAAAUUAAUUGACAGUUAAAGGUUACAUACAUGUUUAUUAUAACACACAAUCUGGAAUCAACUUCAGCUACUGGCUGUAGAUUUCAAUGAUUAGUGUGUUUGCAAGAAGAACAGUCAAUAAAGAUGAAGAAAUGUGAGCAACACAACUAUUUAUCAACUGUAAUAAAGGAGCUGAUGAGAGACAUUUUUGCAAUUUAUUUUAAUAAAAGAGGAAAAUGAAAGAUCAGGGAAAAGAAAAUCAGGAUCAAACUUUCACUACAACACAUCACACAGAGACACUGAGGAACCAGGA
Betta splendens (Siamese fighting fish) is the source of this 517-nucleotide long non-coding RNA. RefSeq lists it as uncharacterized. NCBI's taxonomy places the organism in Eukaryota, Metazoa, Chordata, Actinopteri, Anabantiformes, Osphronemidae. The record is from RefSeq and is a predicted model, not a curated record. The transcript is spliced from 2 exons.